Molecule: long non-coding RNA, 650 nt
Organism: Coregonus clupeaformis (lake whitefish)
Lineage: Eukaryota; Metazoa; Chordata; Actinopteri; Salmoniformes; Salmonidae
Exons: 3
Source: RefSeq, a predicted model, not a curated record
CAGUCUGUGGUUGAGAUAGGAAAGAGGGCGAGUGAAGUUGGUUUCGUUCCUUUAUACCUAGCUAUCUGACCGACCUACUAAGUCAUAUCUUAUCAAUCGAAACUAAUUUUAUUGUAAUAACCACUAUCAGCGUUGAAAACCGGGGAUUAAAAUGUGUAACAGUAGUUCAACGUUAGCUAGCUAGCUAAUAGUAGCGAGCGAGCAUGUGGAGUCACUACCAGAGCACCUCACGGCAGAGACCCGGGGUGGCAGGGGGGUGAGGGUAUGCCAGGACCUGGCUUCGCUACCCGCUGAACUCAUCACCCAGAUAGGUGACAAAGUAAAGUCAUCAUGGUAGGACGGGGAAGGAGCAACGUUCUAUUACCAUGUUCAGAGGACCAUGUCAACACCCUGCAGGGCAGGGGCACGGUACCAGUCUGUGAUCAAAAUGGAAACGCAGCAUCAAGGAGCAGUGUAACAGUUAAUGGGGGUCAUCCUCACUCUGCUCACAACAAGAUGGCACAAGCAGAGACCAAGAACAUUAUCUAUUUUUUCCUGUGUGAGCAGAACUGUGAUGGUGGUCAUGUAUCUUCUGACUUCAACACUGCUGGCCUCCCAGAGCCACCAGAACUAUGCAGGACCCAAGUUCAGUGAGCCGCCCGCUCCUAGUG